UGGCGGCGUGCCUAACACAUGCAAGUCGAACGGGGAUUUGUUUCGGCAGAAUCCUAGUGGCGAACGGGUGAGUAACGCGUAGGCAACCUGCCCUCCGGCCGGGGACAACACUCCGAAAGGGGUGCUAAUACCGGAUACGAAGUCUGUGCCGCAUGGUACGGAUUUGAAAGAUGGCCUCUAUUUAUAAGCUAUCGCCGGGGGAUGGGCCUGCGUCCGAUUAGCUGGUUGGUGGGGUAACGGCCUACCAAGGCGACGAUCGGUAGCCGGUCUGAGAGGAUGAACGGCCACAUUGGGACUGAGACACGGUCCAAACUCCUACGGGAGGCAGCAGUGGGGAAUAUUGCACAAUGGGGGAAACCCUGAUGCAGCCGACGCCGCGUGAAGGAUGAAGUAUUUCGGUAUGUAAACUUCUAUCAGCAGGGAAGAUGAUGACGGUACCUGACUAAGAAGCCCCGGCUAACUACGUGCCAGCAGCCGC
This 478-nucleotide ribosomal RNA is filed under the name uncultured bacterium. Its description in RNAcentral is "bacterial SSU rRNA". It matches the Rfam family "Bacterial small subunit ribosomal RNA", at positions 37 to 518 of the family's 1533-position model. The record is from RNAcentral.